ACGAACGCUGGCGGCGCGCCUAACACAUGCAAGUCGAACGGAGCUGAGAGAAGCUUGCUUUUCUUAGCUUAGUGGCGAACGGGUGAGUAACGCGUGAGUAACCUGCCCUGGAGUGGGGGACAACAGUUGGAAACGACUGCUAAUACCGCAUAAGCCCACGAUCCGGCAUCGGAUUGAGGGAAAAGGAUUUAUUCGCUUCAGGAUGGACUCGCGUCCAAUUAGCUAGUUGGUGAGGUAACGGCCCACCAAGGCGACGAUUGGUAGCCGGACUGAGAGGUUGAACGGCCACAUUGGGACUGAGACACGGCCCAGACUCCUACGGGAGGCAGCAGUGGGGGAUACUGCACAAUGGGGGAAACCCUGAUGCAGCGACGCCGCGUGGAGGAAGAAGGUUUUCGGAUUGUAAACUCCUGUCGUUAGGGACGAUAAUGACGGUACCUAACAAGAAAGCACCGGCUAACUACGUG
RNAcentral lists this ribosomal RNA (467 nucleotides) under uncultured bacterium. RNAcentral describes it as "partial 16S ribosomal RNA". It matches the Rfam family "Bacterial small subunit ribosomal RNA", at positions 29 to 507 of the family's 1533-position model. The record is from RNAcentral.